AUCCAGCUAACGAGUCCCAAACAGGAUGAAACGCGCAUCCUGGAU
RNAcentral lists this non-coding RNA (45 nucleotides) under Trichobilharzia regenti. Lineage: Eukaryota; Metazoa; Platyhelminthes; Trematoda; Strigeidida; Schistosomatidae. The record is from RNAcentral.